Molecule: non-coding RNA, 572 nt
Organism: Myotis davidii
Lineage: Eukaryota; Metazoa; Chordata; Mammalia; Chiroptera; Vespertilionidae
Source: the annotation of a RefSeq genome assembly
GCAAGGACUGCCGAGGGCUGACCCCUGGCCACUGUCUCCCCACAGCUUGUGAGAACCCAGGUGGGCCCUCGGUCUUCAUCUUCCCCCCGAAACCCAAGGACACCCUCAUGAUAUCCCGGACGCCUGAGGUCACGUGUAUGGUGGUAGACGUGGCCCCAGAUGACCUCGAUGUCGAGUUCACCUGGUACGUAGACGACGAAGAGAAGAGCAAGAAGACAGUGAAGGCGCAGCAGCAGCUGUUCAACAGCACCUACCGCGUGGUCCAUACCCUCCCCAUCAUGCACCAGGACUGGCUGAAGGCCAAAGUGUUCAAGUGCAAGGUCAACAACAAGGCCAUACCCGCCCCCAUCGAGAGGACCAUCUCCAAGGCCAUAGGGCAAGACCGGGAGCCGCAGGUGUACAUCCUGGGCCCACACUCGGACGAACUGGCCAGGGACAAGGUCAGCGUGACCUGCCUGGUCAAAGCCUUCUUCCCGCCCGACAUCAGCGUGAAGUGGAUCUUCUCUUCGGUGGCCGACCUGAAGAGGACCGUCGUCCCCGACUACAGGAACAUGAUCGGACAAGGGGCCUAG